Long non-coding RNA from Brachypodium distachyon (stiff brome), 741 nucleotides. RefSeq lists it as uncharacterized. The transcript is spliced from 2 exons. The record is from RefSeq and is a predicted model, not a curated record. Lineage: Eukaryota; Viridiplantae; Streptophyta; Magnoliopsida; Poales; Poaceae.
AUUUUGCUAAUUGUCGAGUUGUCUCUACCAAAUAAUUGACUGCUUUCCCGUUCAAUUUAGUUUGCCAUUUUGUUCAUAGCACUUUCUUUGGAUUGGAGCGGAACAAAUUUUGUUUUUCCUGAUCUUUUGUGGCCACAUAUAUUGCAUUUCGUUACUUUCGUCCAUGGGUAAGCAGCUCCGGUUUGUCAGCAAAGACCUGUAGGCUCCUCCUCGCAAAAAAAGAAGAAGACCUACAGGCUAUACAGGGGACGUGGAGAUUCCUUAUGACAUUGAGGUGGAUUCGGAUGAUCUAGCCUUUCCAAUCAGUUUCAGGGCAGUUGUGCCAUCUCACGUCCUUGACUGUCAAAACUUUGGAGAAGAAACUAGAUAGAAAAAUUGAUUACAUCGGAGUAACACUUUGUAGCUAGAUGAGACGGGAUUCAGAACUUGUUCCCUCUGUAAUUUGUUUGUUUCCGUAGCAUGCUGCUUUACUCCUACUUUUGAUUCAUAAAUUAUGAAUGCAUUUUAAACUGACUCCGUGGGGCGCUACCUAUGAAAUGCAUUUUAAACUGACAUUCAUGCUUGAACAAAAACUAUGUUACUCUGUAUAUGUUUUAUUGUAUAGAUUAGAUCACCAAGUGUAUCUCAUCACUGUGCCAUUUUUCUGUUCAUAUAUAUGACGGUGUAACAUACUGCUGGCAGGCAGUAGCUAACAACCUUGUACUCUUUUUUUUUGUUACAUAUAUACUCCUUUGUUUUGCA